UCGGGAAUUUUGUGCAAUGGGCGAAAGCCUGACACAGCAACGCCGCGUGAAGGAUGAAGUCCCUCGGGAUGUAAACUUCGUAAGAAUAGGAAGAAUAAAUGACGGUACUAUUUGUAAGGUCCGGCUAACUACGUGCCAGCAGCCGCGGUAAUACGUAGGGACCAAGCGUUGUUCGGAUUUACUGGGCGUAAAGGGCGCGUAGGCGGCGUGGUAAGUCAUCUGUGAAAUCUCCGAGCUUAACUCGGAACGGUCAGAUGAUACUGCUGUGCUAGAGUACAGAAAGGGCAAUCGGAAUUCUUGGUGUAGCGGUGAAAUGCGUAGAUAUCAAGAGGAACACCUGAGGUGAAGACGGGUUGCUGGGCUGACACUGACGCUGAGGCGCGAAAGCCAGGGGAGCAAACGGGAUUAGAUACCCAAGUAGUCCCUGAGCGGGCUGGCAAGGCGCAU
RNAcentral lists this ribosomal RNA (447 nucleotides) under uncultured bacterium. RNAcentral's name for it is "bacterial SSU rRNA". It matches the Rfam family "Bacterial small subunit ribosomal RNA", at positions 355 to 825 of the family's 1533-position model. The record is from RNAcentral.